Molecule: ribosomal RNA, 472 nt
Filed under: uncultured bacterium
Lineage: Bacteria
Description: partial 16S ribosomal RNA
Rfam family: Bacterial small subunit ribosomal RNA
Source: RNAcentral
GACGAACGCUGGCGGCGUGCUUAACACAUGCAAGUCGAACGCUGAAGCUUGGUGCUUGCACUGGGUGGAUGAGUGGCGAACGGGUGAGUAAUACGUGAGUAACCUGCCCUUGACUCUGGGAUAAGCCUGGGAAACUGGGUCUAAUACUGGAUACGACAUGCCACUGCAUGGUGGUGUGUGGAAAGGGUUUUACUGGUUUUGGAUGGGCUCACGGCCUAUCAGCUUGUUGGUGGGGUAAUGGCCUACCAAGGCGACGACGGGUAGCUGGCCUGAGAGGGUGACCGGCCACACUGGGACUGAGACACGGCCCAGACUCCUACGGGAGGCAGCAGUGGGGAAUAUUGCACAAUGGGCGGAAGCCUGAUGCAGCGACGCCGCGUGAGGGAUGACGGCCUUCGGGUUGUAAACCUCUUUCAGCACGGAAGAAGCGAGAGUGACGGUACGUGCAGAAGAAGCGCCGGCUAACUACGUG